This 492-nucleotide ribosomal RNA is filed under the name uncultured bacterium. RNAcentral's name for it is "partial 16S ribosomal RNA". It matches the Rfam family "Bacterial small subunit ribosomal RNA", at positions 29 to 507 of the family's 1533-position model. The record is from RNAcentral.
AGUGAACGCUGGCGGUAGGCCUAACACAUGCCAGUCGAACGGCAGCACAGUAAGAGCUUGCUCUUACGGGUGGCGAGUGGCGGCCGGGUGAGGAAUACAUCGGAAUCUACUUUUUCGUGGGGGAUAACGUAGGGAAACUUACGCUAAUACCGCAUACGACCUACGGGUGAAAGCAGGGGAUCUUCGGACCUUGCGCGAUUGAAUGAGCCGAUGUCGGAUUAGCUAGUUGGCGGGGUAAAGGCCCACCAAGGCGACGAUCCGUAGCUGGUCUGAGAGGAUGAUCAGCCACACUGGAACUGAGACACGGUCCAGACUCCUACGGGAGGCAGCAGUGGGGAAUAUUGGACAAUGGGCGCAAGCCUGAUCCAGCCAUACCGCGUGGGUGAAGAAGGCCUUCGGGUUGUAAAGCCCUUUUGUUGGGAAAGAAAAGCAGCAGGUUAAUACCCCGCUGUUCUGACGGUACCCAAAGAAUAAGCACCGGCUAACUUCGUG